RNAcentral lists this ribosomal RNA (379 nucleotides) under uncultured cyanobacterium. RNAcentral's name for it is "bacterial SSU rRNA". It matches the Rfam family "Bacterial small subunit ribosomal RNA", at positions 376 to 770 of the family's 1533-position model. Lineage: Bacteria; Bacillati; Cyanobacteriota. The record is from RNAcentral.
CGCAAGCCUGACGGAGCAAGACCGCGUGAGGGAGGAAGGCUCUUGGGUUGUAAACCUCUUUUCUCAGGGAAGAAGCUCUGACGGUACCUGAGGAAUCAGCCUCGGCUAACUCCGUGCCAGCAGCCGCGGUAAUACGGAGGAGGCAAGCGUUAUCCGGAAUUAUUGGGCGUAAAGCGUCCGCAGGUGGCGAUUCAAGUCUGCUGUCAAAACCCAGGGCUCAACUCUGGUCAGGCAGUGGAAACUACAUAGCUAGAGUUCGGUAGGGGCAAAGGGAAUUCCCGGUGUAGCGGUGAAAUGCGUAGAGAUCGGGAAGAACAUCGGUGGCGAAAGCGCUCUACUGGACGGCAACUGACACUCAGGGACGAAAGCUAGGGGAGCG